GGGUUGUGAGGUUAAGCGACUAAGCGUACACGGUGGAUGCCUUGGCAGUCAGAGGCGAUGAAGGACGUGCUAAUCUGCGAUAAGCGUCGGUAAGGUGAUAUGAACCGUUAUAACCGGCGAUUUCCGAAUGGGGAAACCCAGUGUGUUUCGACACACUAUCAUUAACUGAAUCCAUAGGUUAAUGAGGCGAACCGGGGGAACUGAAACAUCUAAGUACCCCGAGGAAAAGAAAUCAACCGAGAUUCCCCCAGUAGCGGCGAGCGAACGGGGAGCAGCCCAGAGCCUGAAUCAGUGUGUGUGUUAGUGGAAGCGUCUGGAAAGGCGCGCGAUACAGGGUGACAGCCCCGUACACAAAAAUGCACAUGCUGUGAGCUCGAUGAGUAGGGCGGGACACGUGGUAUCCUGUCUGAAUAUGGGGGGCCAUCCUCCAAGGCUAAAUACUCCUGACUGACCGAUAGUGAACCAGUACCGUGAGGGAAAGGCGAAAAGAACCCCGGCGAGGGGAGUGAAAAAGAACCUGAAACCGUGUACGUACAAGCAGUGGGAGCACGCUUAGGCGUGUGACUGCGUACCUUUUGUAUAAUGGGUCAGCGACUUAUAUUCUGUAGCAAGGUUAACCGAAUAGGGGAGCCGAAGGGAAACCGAGUCUUAACUGGGCGUUAAGUUGCAGGGUAUAGACCCGAAACCCGGUGAUCUAGCCAUGGGCAGGUUGAAGGUUGGGUAACACUAACUGGAGGACCGAACCGACUAAUGUUGAAAAAUUAGCGGAUGACUUGUGGCUGGGGGUGAAAGGCCAAUCAAACCGGGAGAUAGCUGGUUCUCCCCGAAAGCUAUUUAGGUAGCGCCUCGUGAAUUCAUCUCCGGGGGUAGAGCACUGUUUCGGCAAGGGGGUCAUCCCGACUUACCAACCCGAUGCAAACUGCGAAUACCGGAGAAUGUUAUCACGGGAGACACACGGCGGGUGCUAACGUCCGUCGUGAAGAGGGAAACAACCCAGACCGCCAGCUAAGGUCCCAAAGUCAUGGUUAAGUGGGAAACGAUGUGGGAAGGCCCAGACAGCCAGGAUGUUGGCUUAGAAGCAGCCAUCAUUUAAAGAAAGCGUAAUAGCUCACUGGUCGAGUCGGCCUGCGCGGAAGAUGUAACGGGGCUAAACCAUGCACCGAAGCUGCGGCAGCGACGCUUAUGCGUUGUUGGGUAGGGGAGCGUUCUGUAAGCCUGUGAAGGUGUACUGUGAGGUAUGCUGGAGGUAUCAGAAGUGCGAAUGCUGACAUAAGUAACGAUAAAGCGGGUGAAAAACCCGCUCGCCGGAAGACCAAGGGUUCCUGUCCAACGUUAAUCGGGGCAGGGUGAGUCGACCCCUAAGGCGAGGCCGAAAGGCGUAGUCGAUGGGAAACAGGUUAAUAUUCCUGUACUUGGUGUUACUGCGAAGGGGGGACGGAGAAGGCUAUGUUGGCCGGGCGACGGUUGUCCCGGUUUAAGCGUGUAGGCUGGUUUUCCAGGCAAAUCCGGAAAAUCAAGGCUGAGGCGUGAUGACGAGGCACUACGGUGCUGAAGCAACAAAUGCCCUGCUUCCAGGAAAAGCCUCUAAGCAUCAGGUAACAUCAAAUCGUACCCCAAACCGACACAGGUGGUCAGGUAGAGAAUACCAAGGCGCUUGAGAGAACUCGGGUGAAGGAACUAGGCAAAAUGGUGCCGUAACUUCGGGAGAAGGCACGCUGAUAUGUAGGUGAAGUCCCUCGCGGAUGGAGCUGAAAUCAGUCGAAGAUACCAGCUGGCUGCAACUGUUUAUUAAAAACACAGCACUGUGCAAACACGAAAGUGGACGUAUACGGUGUGACGCCUGCCCGGUGCCGGAAGGUUAAUUGAUGGGGUUAGCGCAAGCGAAGCUCUUGAUCGAAGCCCCGGUAAACGGCGGCCGUAACUAUAACGGUCCUAAGGUAGCGAAAUUCCUUGUCGGGUAAGUUCCGACCUGCACGAAUGGCGUAAUGAUGGCCAGGCUGUCUCCACCCGAGACUCAGUGAAAUUGAACUCGCUGUGAAGAUGCAGUGUACCCGCGGCAAGACGGAAAGACCCCGUGAACCUUUACUAUAGCUUGACACUGAACAUUGAGCCUUGAUGUGUAGGAUAGGUGGGAGGCUUUGAAGUGUGGACGCCAGUCUGCAUGGAGCCGACCUUGAAAUACCACCCUUUAAUGUUUGAUGUUCUAACGUUGACCCGUAAUCCGGGUUGCGGACAGUGUCUGGUGGGUAGUUUGACUGGGGCGGUCUCCUCCUAAAGAGUAACGGAGGAGCACGAAGGUUGGCUAAUCCUGGUCGGACAUCAGGAGGUUAGUGCAAUGGCAUAAGCCAGCUUGACUGCGAGCGUGACGGCGCGAGCAGGUGCGAAAGCAGGUCAUAGUGAUCCGGUGGUUCUGAAUGGAAGGGCCAUCGCUCAACGGAUAAAAGGUACUCCGGGGAUAACAGGCUGAUACCGCCCAAGAGUUCAUAUCGACGGCGGUGUUUGGCACCUCGAUGUCGGCUCAUCACAUCCUGGGGCUGAAGUAGGUCCCAAGGGUAUGGCUGUUCGCCAUUUAAAGUGGUACGCGAGCUGGGUUUAGAACGUCGUGAGACAGUUCGGUCCCUAUCUGCCGUGGGCGCUGGAGAACUGAGGGGGGCUGCUCCUAGUACGAGAGGACCGGAGUGGACGCAUCACUGGUGUUCGGGUUGUCAUGCCAAUGGCACUGCCCGGUAGCUAAAUGCGGAAGAGAUAAGUGCUGAAAGCAUCUAAGCACGAAACUUGCCCCGAGAUGAGUUCUCCCUGACCCUUUAAGGGUCCUGAAGGAACGUUGAAGACGACGACGUUGAUAGGCCGGGUGUGUAAGCGCAGCGAUGCGUUGAGCUAACCGGUACUAAUGAACCGUGAGGCUUAACCUUACAACGCCGAAGCUGUU
This 2929-nucleotide ribosomal RNA is filed under the name Escherichia coli. RNAcentral's name for it is "23S ribosomal RNA". It matches the Rfam family "Bacterial large subunit ribosomal RNA". The record is from RNAcentral. Lineage: Bacteria; Pseudomonadati; Pseudomonadota; Gammaproteobacteria; Enterobacterales; Enterobacteriaceae.